CCUGCCCAAGAGAUCGGGAUAACACCUGGAAAACAGGAAUGCUAAUACCGGAUAACAACAGAUGAUGCCUAUCAACUGUUUAAAAGAUGGUUCUGCUAUCACUCUUGGAUGGACCUGCGGUGCAUUAGCUAGUUGGUAGGGUAACGGCCUACCAAGGCGAUGAUGCAUAGCCGAGUUGAGAGACUGAUCGGCCACAUUGGGACUGAGACACGGCCCAAACUCCUACGGGAGGCAGCAGNG
This 240-nucleotide ribosomal RNA is filed under the name uncultured Lactobacillus sp. RNAcentral describes it as "partial 16S ribosomal RNA". It matches the Rfam family "Bacterial small subunit ribosomal RNA", at positions 125 to 356 of the family's 1533-position model. Lineage: Bacteria; Bacillati; Bacillota; Bacilli; Lactobacillales; Lactobacillaceae. The record is from RNAcentral.